GGCAAUUGAAAUAUCACUAAAUUGAUGGCAAACUGUGCUUAACAAGAGGGACGUGAUGGAGGCCAACAUUAAAAUUCCAUCUAUUUCAACCCUUGCAAAGGGAUGUGAGAGGUUUGCCUUAGGUCCUUUGCUGUGAAGUGAGGUAUUCUUAUGUGACCUUGAUGGCAGGCUCUAGGUUGUGUGCAUCUGGGUCAGAGCUAGCAUAUUCGCCCAGGCAGGGCUUACUCAUAAAUCCUGCCUGAUUUAUGAAGGCACCAGAGACUGCGCUAUUCCAAAAACAGCGUGCCACAAACUUACACCGGAUGCUCACUCACAUGAAAACAAUUGUUUAAAUGCUGAACAAAAACUCAUAACGAGACCCAACGCUCCCCAUUUGUGGGCUGACUGAAGCCCCAGCUGCAUUUGUGAGUGAUUUCCCUGACUUUGAUGGCCCAGAGGGCUCUGCUCCAGCUGCAUGUCUGGGAGUGAAGUGGCUCAGGCUGCUGCAGGACCGAGGAGGAGGAGGAGGAGGAGGAAGAAGCAAACCCAGCUCGGAGCACCAGGGAAUGUGGAGGAAGUGACUGUGUGCUGUGUUGGAGGGCGUAAUUUCACCCAGGAGGAGUUGGCUGAAGCCCUGCAACCUCCUAACACCUUACCAAAGGCUGAAGGAGAUGCGAUGCCUCAGAACAGCUGGCUCUGCCUACAGAUUUGGCAUCCACUGCUCCUCUUGGAGCCCAGGAGAUGAAAGAGAAGUGCCAGAGGUACCACACAGCUGGAAGCUCGACUCGCAGGCAGACACAAAAGUGGAACAGGGAAGCAGGAGAGAAGAAACGCUCCUUUGUCUCGUGGUUGAACUGGUUGCCCUUGCUGGGACACAAGCAGUUCAUCUGGGCAGAGAAACCCACUGGCCCACUUGGCAUCCUGCGGCUCUUGGCACGCGUUAAACAGAAACAAAACUGUGCUCUGCUACUGAUGAUCCUCACAGCAGAAUCUCUGUGCUGUUUUCAGCCUGAGCGAAGGGGAGGAGAGGAAGGCUGCUGAAGAAUGGUAGUGAGACACAGAAACUUCUCAGUGUGGCUGUUAAUGUGUUCAGGUGGUGGAAAACUACAGAGGGAGGAUGUGGGCUGAAUGCAGCUAUAAUGGACUGGAAUUCGUGACACGGAGUAACUUGUUGGCUUUGUAAAAUGGAAUCACUUCCUAACUGUAACGAGCAAUCUUGGACAUGAUCAUUUUGGGAUACCAAAGCACUGGCUGCUACAUGAGUACUUGUAAUCCUCGUUGCAUAAUAGUGUCUGUAAAAAGCUUUUAAAAGGAAAU
This 1296-nucleotide long non-coding RNA is filed under the name Phasianus colchicus (ring-necked pheasant). RNAcentral describes it as "lncRNA (ENSPCLG00000013036.1)". The record is from RNAcentral. Lineage: Eukaryota; Metazoa; Chordata; Aves; Galliformes; Phasianidae.